RNAcentral lists this ribosomal RNA (246 nucleotides) under uncultured Lactobacillus sp. Its description in RNAcentral is "partial 16S ribosomal RNA". It matches the Rfam family "Bacterial small subunit ribosomal RNA", at positions 116 to 355 of the family's 1533-position model. The record is from RNAcentral. Lineage: Bacteria; Bacillati; Bacillota; Bacilli; Lactobacillales; Lactobacillaceae.
CGUGGGUAACCUGCCCAAGAGAUCGGGAUAACACCUGGAAACAGAUGCUAAUACCGGAUAACAACAGAUGAUGCCUAUCAACUGUUUAAAAGAUGGUUCUGCUAUCACUCUUGGAUGGACCUGCGGUGCAUUAGCUAGUUGGUAGGGUAACGGCCUACCAAGGCGAUGAUGCAUAGCCGAGUUGAGAGACUGAUCGGCCACAUUGGGACUGAGACACGGCCCAAACUCCUACGGGAGGCAGCAGCC